GUCUAUGGCUAUACCACCUUGAACGCACCUGAUCUCGUCCGAUCUUGGAAGCUAAGCAGGAUUGGGCCUGGUUAGUACUUGGAUGAGAAACACUUGAUUAUUAGCAGUUGUGACUGUGGGUA
RNAcentral lists this ribosomal RNA (122 nucleotides) under Pteropus alecto (black flying fox). The record is from RNAcentral. Lineage: Eukaryota; Metazoa; Chordata; Mammalia; Chiroptera; Pteropodidae.